AACGCACGAGACCUGCGGACCUGCGGAGGGAUCAUUACAUGAUUUGAGGGGGCUCACGUCCCCUCAUCCAACCCACAAACCCCGAGGAACUUUUAUGUCGAGUGGUUCGGCGCUCUCUUUGAGAGCCGCCCCUCAAACGCAUCGCAGGCUUUUCGUGAAGGUCUGAUGUGUCACAUCGCGAGUAUUAAAACUUUCAACAACGGAUCUCU
RNAcentral lists this unclassified non-coding RNA (209 nucleotides) under soil metagenome. Its description in RNAcentral is "partial contains 5.8S ribosomal RNA, internal transcribed spacer 2, and large subunit ribosomal RNA". The record is from RNAcentral.